This 469-nucleotide ribosomal RNA is filed under the name uncultured bacterium. RNAcentral's name for it is "bacterial SSU rRNA". It matches the Rfam family "Bacterial small subunit ribosomal RNA", at positions 28 to 507 of the family's 1533-position model. The record is from RNAcentral.
GACGAACGCUGGCGGCGUGCCUGACACAUGCAAGUCGGACGGUUCUUGCACCUUCAAGCUUACUUGCUGGUGCAAGGAUAGUGGCGGACGGGUGAGUAACGCGUGAACAUCUACCCAUUGGAGGGGGACAACCCGUCGAAAGGCGGGCUAAUACCGCGUAAGCCGCGAGGUGAGAGGCUGCCUAUUGGUGGCCGCCGAUGGAUGGGUUCGCGUCCUAUCAGCUGGUUGGUGGGGUAACGGCCUACCAAGGCGAAGACGGGUAGCCGGUCUGAGAGGAUGGCCGGCCACACUGGAACUGAGACACGGUCCAGACUCCUACGGGAGGCAGCAGUGGGGAAUAUUGGGCAAUGGGGGUAACCCUGACCCAGCGACGCCGCGUGAGGGACGAAGGUUUUCGGAUCGUAAACCUCUGUUGUACGGGAAGAAGGAAUUGACGGUACCGUACGAGAAAGCCCCGGCAAACUACGUG